Molecule: ribosomal RNA, 387 nt
Filed under: uncultured bacterium
Lineage: Bacteria
Description: bacterial SSU rRNA
Rfam family: Bacterial small subunit ribosomal RNA
Source: RNAcentral
GAUGAACGCUGGCGGUAUGCCUAACACAUGCAAGUCGUACGAGAGUUUUUAACUCUAGUGGCGGACGGGUGAGUAACACGUGAGAAUUUGCCUUUAGGAGGGGGAUAACAAUUGGAAACGAAUGCUAAUACCCCAUAUGCUUUUGAGUGAAAUGGAUUUUAUCCGCCUAGAGAGAAGCUCGCGGCUGAUUAGCUUGUUGGUAAGGUAAGAGCUUACCAAGGCGACGAUCAGUAUCUGGUUUGAGAGGACGAUCAGACACACUGGAACUGAGACACGGUCCAGACUCCUACGGAGGCAGCAGUGGGGAAUUUCGCAAUGGCGAAAGCCUGACGGAGCAAUACCGCGUGAGGGAAGAAUGCCAUGGGUUGUAAACCGCUUUCAGCAGGG